This 811-nucleotide ribosomal RNA is filed under the name uncultured bacterium. RNAcentral describes it as "bacterial SSU rRNA". It matches the Rfam family "Bacterial small subunit ribosomal RNA", at positions 8 to 794 of the family's 1533-position model. The record is from RNAcentral.
AGAGUUGAUCAUGGCUCAGAACGAACGCUGGCGGCGUGCUUAAGACAUGCAAGUCGAGCGAGAAAGCCACCUUCGGGUGGUGAGUAAAGCGGCGCACGGGUGAGUAACGCGUGGAUAAUCUACCUGUAGGUCUGGGAUAACUCCGGGAAACUGGGGCUAAUACCGGAUAAGACCACGGGGUCUUCGGGUCUUGCGGAAAAAGGUGGCCUCUUCUUGAAAGCUACCGCCUAUCGAUGAGUCCGCGUCCCAUUAGCUUGUUGGCGAGGUAAAGGCUCACCAAGGCUUCGAUGGGUAGCUGGUCUGAGAGGAUGAUCAGCCACACUGGAACUGAGACACGGUCCAGACUCCUGCGGGAGGCAGCAGUCGGGAAUUUUGGGCAAUGGGGGAAACCCUGACCCAGCAACGCCGCGUGAGGGAUGAAGGCCUUCGGGUCGUAAACCUCUGUCGGAAGGGAAGAAAGGUGUCCGUUCGAAUAGAGCGGGGGCUUGACGGUACCUUCAAAGGAAGCACCGGCUAACUCCGUGCCAGCAGCCGCGGUAAUACGGAGGGUGCAAGCGUUGUUCGGAAUUACUGGGCGUAAAGCGCGUGUAGGCGGCUUGGCCAGUCGAGUGUGAAAUCCCAGGGCUCAACCCUGGAACUGCACCCGAAACUGCCUGGCUAGAGUCCCGGAGAGGGUGGCGGAAUUUCCGGUGUAGAGGUGAAAUUCGUAGAUAUCGGAAGGAACACCAGUGGCGAAGGCGGCCACCUGGACGGUGACUGACGCUGAGACGCGAAAGCGUGGGGAGCAAACAGGAUUAGAUACCCUGGUAGU